Non-coding RNA from Triticum aestivum (bread wheat), 115 nucleotides. The record is from Rfam. Lineage: Eukaryota; Viridiplantae; Streptophyta; Magnoliopsida; Poales; Poaceae.
CAACUACUCCCUCCGUUCCAAAUUACUCAUCGCUAAAAUGGAUGUAUCUAGAACUAAAAUACAUCUAGAUACAUCCAUAUGUGCGACAAGUAAUUCGGAACGGACGGAGUAUAUA